This 827-nucleotide ribosomal RNA is filed under the name 'Daucus carota' phytoplasma. Its description in RNAcentral is "bacterial SSU rRNA". It matches the Rfam family "Bacterial small subunit ribosomal RNA", at positions 389 to 1225 of the family's 1533-position model. The record is from RNAcentral. Lineage: Bacteria; Bacillati; Mycoplasmatota; Mollicutes; Acholeplasmatales; Acholeplasmataceae.
CGACAACGCCGCGUGAACGAUGAAGUAUUUCGGUACGUAAAGUUCUUUUAUUAGGGAAGAAUAAAUGAUGGAAAAAUCAUUCUGACGGUACCUAAUGAAUAAGCCCCGGCUAACUAUGUGCCAGCAGCCGCGGUAAUACAUAGGGGGCAAGCGUUAUCCGGAAUUAUUGGGCGUAAAGGGUGCGUAGGCUGUUAAAUAAGUUUAUGGUCUAAGUGCAAUGCUCAACAUUGUGAUGCUAUAAAAACUGUUUAGCUAGAGUAAGAUAGAGGCAAGUGGAAUUCCAUGUGUAGUGGUAAAAUGCGUAAAUAUAUGGAGGAACACCAGUAGCGAAGGCGGCUUGCUGGGUCUUUACUGACGCUGAGGCACGAAAGCGUGGGGAGCAAACAGGAUUAGAUACCCUGGUAGUCCACGCCGUAAACGAUGAGUACUAAACGUUGGGUAAAACCAGUGUUGAAGUUAACACAUUAAGUACUCCGCCUGAGUAGUACGUACGCAAGUAUGAAACUUAAAGGAAUUGACGGGACUCCGCACAAGCGGUGGAUCAUGUUGUUUAAUUCGAAGGUACCCGAAAAACCUCACCAGGUCUUGACAUGCUUCUGCAAAGCUGUAGAAACACAGUGGAGGUUAUCAGUUGCACAGGUGGUGCAUGGUUGUCGUCAGCUCGUGUCGUGAGAUGUUGGGUUAAGUCCCGCAACGAGCGCAACCCUUAUUGUUAGUUGCCAGCACGUAAUGGUGGGGACUUUAGCAAGACUGCCAGUGAUAAAUUGGAGGAAGGUGGGGACGACGUCAAAUCAUCAUGCCCCUUAUGACCUGGGCUACAAACGUGA